This is a long non-coding RNA of Canis lupus familiaris (dog), 515 nucleotides long. RefSeq lists it as uncharacterized. NCBI's taxonomy places the organism in Eukaryota, Metazoa, Chordata, Mammalia, Carnivora, Canidae. The record is from RefSeq and is a predicted model, not a curated record. The transcript is spliced from 4 exons.
UGUUCAUUACAAAAGCAGCUGGAAAAAUGCAAGCAGAAAAGACUCUGGAAUAACAUUUGUUGAAAGCAGCCACCAGGGAGAGAACACAUAGCUGCAGAGAAGGAGAAGUCACCAAAUGCCGCACCUCACCUGAGCAGGAGCAGAAGACAAGAGCAGAGCUGCAAAGUAUUGCUGGAUCAUUAUGGACUAGAAAUAAAAUGGGCUACUUGAGAGAGGAGCAGUAGAGCUGAAUACCCACAAACCAGGAUGUGGUGUCUGAAGAAGGCAUCUUACCUCCUUAUAUUUGGGCUGUUAGCUGCAAGGAGUCACACACGACUCUCCACAUGAAAGCUGCUGUGCCCAUUCCAUGUGGAGGAAUUCUGCUGGGACUUUCAGGUGCCAGCCAAGCAAGGAAGUCCUACAUCAGGCCCUGAGAUGGGAGCCCUGGGCAUCAGAGUACAGAGCCCAAGUUGUCAGUGUUUCCUGUCACCCCGAACCUUCUGGCUCCAGGCACUACCAAGCUCCUUUAAUUUUAU